RNAcentral lists this ribosomal RNA (463 nucleotides) under uncultured bacterium. RNAcentral describes it as "bacterial SSU rRNA". It matches the Rfam family "Bacterial small subunit ribosomal RNA", at positions 342 to 793 of the family's 1533-position model. The record is from RNAcentral.
GGGAGGGCAGCAGUGGGGAAUAUUGCACAAUGGGGGAAACCCUGAUGCAGCCAUGCCGCGUGUGUGAAGUAAGGCCUUCGGGUUGUAAAGCACUUUCAGUAGGGAGGAAGGUAGUGUAGUUAACACCUGCACUAUUUGACGUUACCUACAGAAGAAGCACCGGCUAACUCCGUGCCAGCAGCCGCGGUAAUACGGAGGGUGCGAGCGUUAAUCGGAAUUACUGGGCGUAAAGCGCAUGCAGGCGGCCUGUUAAGUCAGAUGUGAAAGCCCCGGGGCUUAACCUCGGAAUUGCAUUUGAAACUGGCAGGCUAGAGUCUUGUAGAGGGGGUAGAAUUUCAGGUGUAGCGGUGAAAUGCGUAGAGAUCUGAAGGAAUACCAGUGGCGAAGGCGGCCCCCCUGGACAAAGACUGACGCUCAGAUGCGAAAGCGUGGGGAGCCAAACAGGAUUAGAUACCCCUGGUAG